RNAcentral lists this ribosomal RNA (497 nucleotides) under uncultured bacterium. RNAcentral describes it as "partial 16S ribosomal RNA". It matches the Rfam family "Bacterial small subunit ribosomal RNA", at positions 28 to 507 of the family's 1533-position model. The record is from RNAcentral.
GAUGAACGCUGGCGGCGUGCCUAAUACAUGCAAGUCGAGCGAACGGACGAGAAGCUUGCUUCUCUGAUGUUAGCGGCGGACGGGUGAGUAACACGUGGAUAACCUACCUAUAAGACUGGGAUAACUUCGGGAAACCGGAGCUAAUACCGGAUAAUAUUUUGAACCGCAUGGUUCAAAAGUGAAAGACGGUCUUGCCGUCACUUAUAGAUGGAUCCGCGCUGCAUUAGCUAGUUGGUAAGGUAACGGCUUACCAAGGCAACGAUGCAUAGCCGACCUGAGAGGGUGAUCGGCCACACUGGAACUGAGACACGGUCCAGACUCCUACGGGAGGCAGCAGUAGGGAAUCUUCCGCAAUGGGCGAAAGCCUGACGGAGCAACGCCGCGUGAGUGAUGAAGGUCCUCGGAUCGUAAAACUCUGUUAUUAGGGAAGAACAUAUGUGUAAGUAACUGUGCACAUCUUGACGGUACCUAAUCAGAAAGCCACGGCUAACUACGUG